Long non-coding RNA from Oryctolagus cuniculus (rabbit), 1579 nucleotides. RefSeq lists it as uncharacterized. NCBI's taxonomy places the organism in Eukaryota, Metazoa, Chordata, Mammalia, Lagomorpha, Leporidae. The record is from RefSeq and is a predicted model, not a curated record.
CUAUGCAAGAGAAAUGAAAACAUAUAUCUAUGCAAAAGUUGUAUGAGAAUGUUCAUAGCAGCGUUAUUCAUAAUAACCAAGAAAUGGAAACAACCCAAAUGUCCAUCAACUGGUGAAUGGAAACAUAAACAUGGUGUAAGUAUGCUAUGGAAUAUUACCCAGCAAUCAAAAGGAAUGAAGUACUGAUGUAUGUUCCAACCUGGAUGAACCUCAAAAACAUUAUGCUAAGUGGAAAAAGACAGUCUCAAAAGGUUACAUAUUGUGGGAUCCCAUUUAUAUAAAAUGUCCAGAACAGGCAAAUCUAUCAAACUGAAAAGUGACUGAGUGGUUGCCAAGGACUGGAGGCAAGGGAGCAGUGAGGUUUGAGGGUGAAUGAACAGUGACUGCUAAUGGAUGUGAGGCUUCUUUCCGAGAUGAUCAAAUUGUUCUAAAUGGGAUUAUAGCGAUGGCUACAGAACUCCGUAAAUGUAAUCAACACCAUUGAAUCGUACAUUUUAAACUGUAAGGUGUGGAACCGAAGCUCAUCAAAGUUUUCUUUUAAAAAGUCAGUUGUGAGGCUGCUGCUGUGACACAGCGGGUUAAACUGGACCCAGCCCCCUGCUGAUAAUGCUCCUGGGAAAGCAGGGGAGGACGGCCCACGUGCUUGAUCCCUGCACCAACUAGGAGCCCUGGAAGAAGCUCCUGGCUCCUGGCUCCUGGCUUCGGAUGGCCCAGCUGGGGCCAUUGCGGCCAUAUGGGGUGUGAACCAGCAGAUAGAAGACCUGUCUGUCUCUCCUCUCUGUAACUCUACCUUUCAAAUCAAUCAAUCUUAAAAAAAAAAAAAAAAAAGCGUUGUGCCUGCGUGAAAUUUGACUCCCCCAGCGUCUUACUACCACGCUUUGCCCUGGCAAAAAUUCCUGGGGUCCCUCUCUGCAGCUUCCAGCUCAAGGUUGCUGCUUCUGCUUUUCAGUUCCUCCAAGUAAGAAAGAAAACAAGAUCUCUGAAUUCUUCAGCUCCAACAUCCACCUUGGCUUUGCGGCGGAAACCCCCGACUAGGGCUAGGAACGCGGCCCACCCAGUGGCCAGACCCCGCUGGGAAGUCGCAACUGCGGAGCCCAGCCUAACCGCCCCACCCGGUCCCGGUGGCGAGGGAGGGAGGGCCGUGGGGGCUGGGCGGGACCACGUGAGCCCGGCUCCACGUGACUGUCACCCGCCGCUGAGAGAAGCUUGACCUUCCUUUACCCGGAGCGGUGCGGCGGGGUGCCAGCUCGCUCACACCCGGCCCAGGGCAUUGCCUUUCAGAAGUUCAGGUUUAAAGGGCAACCGCUGCCAGGACGCCGAGCAGCUGUGGUCAGCGCUUGGCCUACAGAUGGAGGCUGCAUCGUGAUGCGGAGGAAGAAUGGUGGGGAGGGAGAGCUUGAAUGAAGGAGAUUGAAAGAGUUGGAGAAGCCGUUGGAGAGGGUCGCUGACCAAAUGGCAGAGGAAUCACCAGGAGGUGGAGCCCAGUCUGCAGUGAUGGAAACAGCUCAGAACAGGUGUUUGGCAGACAUGUUGGUCAUGGAUGUAUUUUCUGAACACUGAUUCCCCCCCACCCCCCGCC